UUUCUUUACGCCGACCUCAGAGCAG
Molecule: ribosomal RNA, 25 nt
Filed under: Calopteryx splendens balcanica
Lineage: Eukaryota; Metazoa; Arthropoda; Insecta; Odonata; Calopterygidae
Description: partial 28S ribosomal RNA
Source: RNAcentral